GCGGGAAUAGCUCAGUUGGUAGAGCACGACUUGCCAAGGUCGGGGUCGCGAGUUCGAGUCUCGUUUCCCGCUCCA
This 75-nucleotide transfer RNA is filed under the name Escherichia coli. RNAcentral describes it as "tRNA-???(gcca)". It matches the Rfam family "tRNA". From Rfam's summary of the family: Transfer RNA (tRNA) molecules are approximately 80 nucleotides in length. Their secondary structure includes four short double-helical elements and three loops (D, anti-codon, and T loops). Further hydrogen bonds mediate the characteristic L-shaped molecular structure. tRNAs have two regions of fundamental functional importance: the anti-codon, which is responsible for specific mRNA codon recognition, and the 3' end, to which the tRNAs corresponding amino acid is attached (by aminoacyl-tRNA synthetases). tRNAs cope with the degeneracy of the genetic code in two manners: having more than one tRNA (with a specific anti-codon) for a particular amino acid; and 'wobble' base-pairing, i.e. permitting non-standard base-pairing at the 3rd anti-codon position. The record is from RNAcentral. Lineage: Bacteria; Pseudomonadati; Pseudomonadota; Gammaproteobacteria; Enterobacterales; Enterobacteriaceae. RNAcentral also lists the same sequence under 1 other name.